Molecule: non-coding RNA, 27 nt
Filed under: Cricetulus griseus (Chinese hamster)
Lineage: Eukaryota; Metazoa; Chordata; Mammalia; Rodentia; Cricetidae
Source: RNAcentral
CAUGACAGGUGGACCCAACAAUGGGGG